AGCAGCCGCGGUAAUUCCAGCUCCAAUAGCGUAUAUUAAAGUUGUUGCAGUUAAAAAGCUCGUAGUUGAAUUUCGGGAUCAAUACGUCGGUCAUGCUUUUUGGUACGAACUGGCGUCAUUGGUUUCUCCUUUCUGACGAACCAUGAUGUCAUUAAUUUGGUGUUAUGGGGAGUUGGGACUGUUACUUUGAAAAAUUAGAGUGUUUAAAGCAGGCAUAAGCUUGAAUACAUUAGCAUGGAAUAAUGAAAUAGGACGUUUGAUCCUAUUUUGUUGGUUUCUAGGAUCAACGUAAUGAUUAAUAGGGAUAGUUGGGGGCAUUAGUAUUCAAUUGUCAGAGGUGAAAUUCUUGGAUUUAUUGAAGACUAACUACUGCGAAAGCAUUUGCCAAGGAUGUUUUCAUUAAUCAAGAACGAAAGUUAGGGGAUCGAAGACGAUCAGAUACCGUCGUAGUCUUAACCAUAAACUAUGCCGACUA
Molecule: ribosomal RNA, 475 nt
Filed under: uncultured Glomus
Lineage: Eukaryota; Fungi; Glomeromycota; Glomeromycetes; Glomerales; Glomeraceae
Description: SSU rRNA
Rfam family: Eukaryotic small subunit ribosomal RNA
Source: RNAcentral